GCUCAGGAUGAACGCUGGCGGCGUGCCUAACACAUGCAAGUCGAGCGAAGCGGUUUUAAGGAAGUUUUCGGAUGGAAUUAAAACUGACUGAGCGGCGGACGGGUGAGUAACGCGUGGGUAACCUGCCUCAUACAGGGGGAUAACAGUUAGAAAUGGCUGCUAAUACCGCAUAAGCACACAGCUUCGCAUGGAGCAGUGUGAAAAACUCCGGUGGUAUGAGAUGGACCCGCGUCUGAUUAGCUAGUUGGUAAGGUAACGGCUUACCAAGGCGACGAUCAGUAGCCGACCUGAGAGGGUGACCGGCCACAUUGGGACUGAGACACGGCCCAAACUCCUACGGGAGGCAGCAGUA
RNAcentral lists this ribosomal RNA (352 nucleotides) under uncultured bacterium. RNAcentral describes it as "bacterial SSU rRNA". It matches the Rfam family "Bacterial small subunit ribosomal RNA", at positions 22 to 356 of the family's 1533-position model. The record is from RNAcentral.